GUAUGGGACAAUGUUAGCAGAAUUGGCUGUUUCUACGGGAUAACGUGAACAGUAUUGGCUGGCUGUAUGGGACAACGUUAGCAAAAUUGGCUGUAUCUACCAUGGGCGUCGGCAGGAAUUUUUCCAGGGGGGGGCAUAAUUGUAAUGACAUCCAUGCUUGGUACCUUUUUGACAGUGUCAUGAAAGGGAAGGGGCAUAGCCAUUAUCACAUAAAGCCAGGGUGAAUAGCGUUUUCACAACUAUGGUGUCAGGAAUAUAUGUUUGUAUUCCUGACACUAUAGUGUUUC
Pelobates cultripes (western spadefoot toad) is the source of this 287-nucleotide non-coding RNA. Lineage: Eukaryota; Metazoa; Chordata; Amphibia; Anura; Pelobatidae. The record is from the annotation of a GenBank genome assembly.